RNAcentral lists this ribosomal RNA (631 nucleotides) under Klebsiella pneumoniae. Its description in RNAcentral is "partial 23S ribosomal RNA". It matches the Rfam family "Bacterial large subunit ribosomal RNA", at positions 1132 to 1765 of the family's 2925-position model. The record is from RNAcentral. Lineage: Bacteria; Pseudomonadati; Pseudomonadota; Gammaproteobacteria; Enterobacterales; Enterobacteriaceae.
GCGUAAUAGCUCACUGGUCGAGUCGGCCUGCGCGGAAGAUGUAACGGGGCUAAACCAUGCACCGAAGCUGCGGCAGCGACACUAUGUGUUGUUGGGUAGGGGAGCGUUCUGUAAGCCUGCGAAGGUGACCUGUGAGGGUUGCUGGAGGUAUCAGAAGUGCGAAUGCUGACAUAAGUAACGAUAAAGCGGGUGAAAAGCCCGCUCGCCGGAAGACCAAGGGUUCCUGUCCAACGUUAAUCGGGGCAGGGUGAGUCGACCCCUAAGGCGAGGCCGAAAGGCGUAGUCGAUGGGAAACAGGUUAAUAUUCCUGUACUUGGUGUUACUGCGAAGGGGGGACGGAGAAGGCUAUGUUAGCCGGGCGACGGUUGUCCCGGUUUAAGCAUGUAGGCUGAUUGUCCAGGCAAAUCCGGAUAAUCAAGGCUGAGGUGUGAUGACGAGGCACUACGGUGCUGAAGUAACAAAUGCCCUGCUUCCAGGAAAAGCCUCUAAGCAUCAGGUAACAUUAAAUCGUACCCCAAACCGACACAGGUGGUCAGGUAGAGAAUACCAAGGCGCUUGAGAGAACUCGGGUGAAGGAACUAGGCAAAAUGGUGCCGUAACUUCGGGAGAAGGCACGCUGGUGUGUAGGUGA